GUGGUGUCCAGUUGUCUUGAAGUUAGCACCAUCUGAUACUCAGUUUCCAAGGAGAAAACCAGCAUGUCUAAUCUGGGAGAAGAAUGAUUAAUUGUAGUAUAUUUACAGGUUGAAAUCUUCAUUGUAAGUAGUGACCGCGGCAGCUUCCCUAUUCAGGAGAAAUGGCAAAAGCAACUGUGCUCCUUUUUUUCUAAGAAAGACAUCUGAAACAAAGCUGAGAAGUGACACAGAUGUACAAACCAAGAGAAACUGGAAAUGAUGGAGCUCUUCAAGAUGCUGGCACAAGAGCAGCUAAUUACAUGGAUUUUGAAGAAAGGAUGAUCUGGAAAAGAGGAAGGCACAUCAGUACAGAAGUACAGCUGCUGAGCAUAAUGGCUUGCAUGGCAGACAGGAUCUCCUCCAGAAAUGCUAAUGGAGAGGUUGUUUCAAGGCAACAAUAUGUGACAGUUUGACGGAUAUUACUGCAGCUGAAGAACUGAUUCAUUUACAAAUGGUUUGUGGUGAGGCUAAGGCUGCCAGUUUGAAAGUGAAUCCAGGGAAGUGCAGUGUGUUCCACAAAGAGUAAUUUAUUGUGAACUCAGAGUCAGCACAGAAGAAGCAUAUUUUGUCAGUGGAGGGAAACAAAAGCUGUGCAGUGCUGGCUAAUUAUUUCCGUGGUGAGAAAGCUCGUUUGCCAGUUUGCUAAUCUUGCAAAAUCAUGGCAGAAUUUAGAUGAAAAGAUGUGAUGCUUUCAGUCACCAGUGGGAAACAAUUUUGGAUUUCUUUUCAGAAUCAAAAGACUCAGGCCUGUUUGUCUUAGCUUGUUGAUUAUUUCCAAACUCUUCUAACUACUGCUUGCAGACAUUUGUGCUUUUGCUUUGGAUGUUGUUGUAAGAACAAUGCAUGAGUGCCUUAAAAGUAUGGAAGCUGUUUACAGCUGAAGCAUGCAUUCUUCAAGGACAAAUGGCUGUACCAGUCACAAACGUGAUUGUACCGAUGCCUAUGGAGGUGAGCUUCCUGCCAAGCUAGCUGCUUUAGCAGCAACAGAGUGGAAAUGGCUGCCCAGGUGCGCUCAGGAGAUGCCCAUUCUUGUCUCUAUAAUUCACAGGAGGACAAAGGUUAUAGAGGAAAAAAUUACCAAAAAGAAACCCAGCAUGUGGUAUGUUGAUAAAAACCCUGAGCAAAUGGAGGCACCUUGCUAAGAAUUCUGAUUCUGUUAUUACCAAAGGCAUUUUCUGGAUGUGUCAACUAAGGUGAAGUCUGAAGAUCAAUGUGACAAGAGGUGGCAGUAGCUAGGCAGCCUGCAGCUGUCUCAAAAUGUCAGGACUGAAAAAGCAGGAUUUCAGUAAAGUGCUGGUAAAAUUCCAGAAAAUUGCUGAAAGAAAAACCAUGUUUGCAUUGCACAGGAAGCUUUCCAUGGGACAUGGGAAUCUCAGGGAAUGGUUUUGUUCCUAAGACAAACAUUCCUGACAGUGGAUUGCUUUCUAAAAGCUUCUAAGUCAUAUAAUUAGGAACCAAGAAAUAGUGGGAUUAACAGAGGGACAGAGAUUCCAGUGAGCUCAUUUGUCAUGUGCAGAGUAUCAUAGAAGAAACCAAUGUUGUCCUCGGAGUCCACAGAACCUGUGUUGCUGAUAGAAACGUGCAAAGAUCAGUUAGACCUGGAAGAGGGAGUUGCACCAGAAAUUGGAAUAGGUUUGUGCUGCUUUGAAUGAUUUUCUUCAGGGCACUUCUGAAAAAACCCCAGGUAUUUUCAGGGAAGCCAGAACCUGUGCAGCUGGAUUGACAGAAGAAUGCAAUGAAUUUGACGAAUGGAGAUAAACAUUUUUUGGUCCUUAUCAAAUAAUUUUAUCAGUACUCUUCAUUUAGAAGAUGAAGUGUUCUUCAUCUUUAGAAUACUUUUGUCUUGGUAGAUUCAAAAGAUAAAUCACAUCUUUGCUGUAGCUGUAGCUGUGAGCAGCAGCACAAGGACUCUGUAUUUCUCUGCCUUCUAACAAGGUGACCUUUUGGGCCAACAUUGAUUUCCCAUCACUUUGCUUACCUUCUCAUACCAUUUCUUUCAAUGCAUAAACAAAUACAGGAUUGAUUUAGGGUAACUCCAGGAAAGUUAAACCUAAACCACAGGACCUACUGGGAAAGGAUAAGCGUUCUUUCCUCAAAAAAACCCAACAGCAUUCCCCCUAACCCAGCAACAGGCUCCCAGCAAAAGCCAUUUGGGACCAGUUCUGUUAAACAAUUACCGCCCUGUGUCAGAGAAGUUAAGAGAUGCCUCAAGGAACCAAAUCAGGUAAUAAGUUUAACUACUUUCAUAGUAAAGAUCACAACUAUUUAAUAAAGACCUCAAAAAGGAUUUUACAAAAAAAGUUUUUCUGUUUUGCUUUUUGUCUAGAAAAAAAAAUGGUACUUUAUACUGUAAUUCAAAGAUGCUUAA
Long non-coding RNA from Pogoniulus pusillus (Red-fronted tinkerbird), 2407 nucleotides. RefSeq lists it as uncharacterized. The record is from RefSeq and is a predicted model, not a curated record. The transcript has 3 exons. Lineage: Eukaryota; Metazoa; Chordata; Aves; Piciformes; Lybiidae.